GGGGAAUAUUGCGCAAUGGGGGAAACCCUGACGCAGCAAUACCGCGUGAGUGAAGAAGGUUUUCGGAUCGUAAAGCUCUGUUAUUGGGGAAGAAAAAAAGACGGUACCCAAGAAGAAAGUCCCGGCUAACUACGUGCCAGCAGCCGCGGUAAUACGUAGGGGACAAGCGUUGUCCGGAUUUACUGGGCGUAAAGGGCACGCAGGCGGUUUUUUAAGUCAGAAGUGAAAGCCCUGGGCUCAACCCGGGAAUUGCUUUUAAGACUGGCGAGCUUGAAUCCAGAAGAGGGUAGUGGAAUUCCAAGUGUAGAGGUGAAAUUCGUAGAUAUUUGGAAGAACACCAGUGGCGAAGGCGACUACCUGGUCUGGCAUUGACGCUCAUGUGCGAAAGCGUGGGGAGCAAACA
RNAcentral lists this ribosomal RNA (403 nucleotides) under uncultured bacterium. Its description in RNAcentral is "bacterial SSU rRNA". It matches the Rfam family "Bacterial small subunit ribosomal RNA", at positions 356 to 774 of the family's 1533-position model. The record is from RNAcentral.